Molecule: microRNA precursor, 59 nt
Organism: Monodelphis domestica (gray short-tailed opossum)
Lineage: Eukaryota; Metazoa; Chordata; Mammalia; Didelphimorphia; Didelphidae
Source: Ensembl
GCGGAGGUCCGUUUCCACUCUGAAGUUAUAUGAUUCAGAGCUGGAAUGGACCUCAGAGG